RNAcentral lists this ribosomal RNA (253 nucleotides) under uncultured bacterium. RNAcentral describes it as "partial 16S ribosomal RNA". It matches the Rfam family "Bacterial small subunit ribosomal RNA", at positions 524 to 776 of the family's 1533-position model. The record is from RNAcentral.
UACGAAGGGGGCUAGCGUUGCUCGGAAUUACUGGGCGUAAAGGGCGCGUAGGCGGACAGUUUAGUCAGAGGUGAAAGCCCAGGGCUCAACCUUGGAAUAGCCUUUGAUACUGACUGUCUUGAGUUCGGGAGAGGUGAGUGGAAUGCCGAGUGUAGAGGUGAAAUUCGUAGAUAUUCGGCGGAACACCAGUGGCGAAGGCGACCCACUGGCCCGAUACUGACGCUGAGGCGCGAAAGCGUGGGGAGCAAACGGG